UCCUACGGGAGGCAGCAGUAAGGAAUAUUGGUCAAUGGGCGCAAGCCUGAACCAGCCAUGCCGCGUGAAGGAUGACGGCCCUAUGGGUUGUAAACUUCUUUUGUACGGGAAAAAACCACCGGUCGUGUAUCGGUGCUGAUGGUACCGUAAGAAUAAGCAUCGGCUAACUCCGUGCCAGCAGCCGCGGUAAUACGGAGGAUGCAAGCGUUAUCCGGAUUCAUUGGGUUUAAAGGGUGCGCAGGCGGAAUAAUAAGUCAGUGGUGAAAGCCUACAGCUUAACUGUAGAACUGCCAUUGAUACUGUCAUUCUUGAGUAUUGUUGAGGUAGGCGGAAUGUGUCAUGUAGCGGUGAAAUGCUUAGAUAUGACACAGAACACCGAUCGCGAAGGCAGCUUACCAAGCAAUAACUGACGCUCAUGCACGAAAGCGUGGGGAUCAAACAGGAUUAGAUACCCUGGUAGUCCACGCCGUAAACGAUGAUCACUCGAUGUUGGCGAUACACAGUCAGCGUCUUAGGGAAACUAUUAAGUGAUCCACCUGGGGAGUACGGUCGCAAGAUUGAAACUCAAAGGAAUUGACGGGGGCCCGCACAAGCGGAGGAGCAUGUGGUUUAAUUCGAUGAUACGCGAGGAACCUUACCUGGGCUCGAACGUGGAAUGACAGUCGCGGAAACGUGAUCUUCUUCGGACAUUCUACGAGGUGCUGCAUGGUUGUCGUCAGCUCGUGCCGUGAGGUGUCGGGUUAAGUCCCAUAACGAGCGCAACCCCUAUCUUUAGUUGCCAUCAGGUAAUGCUGGGGACUCUAAAGAAACUGCCUACGCAAGUAGUGAGGAAGGCGGGGAUGACGUCAAAUCAGCACGGCCCUUACGUCCAGGGCUACACACGUGCUACAAUGGCCGGUACAGAGGGCAGCUACCUGGUGACAGGAUGCAAAUCUCCAAAGCCGGUCUCAGUUCGGAUCGAAGUCUGAAACUCGACUUCGUGAAGUUGGAUUCGCUAGUAAUCGCGCAUCAGCCAUGGCGCGGUGAAUACGUUCCCGGGCCUUGUACACACCGCCAU
RNAcentral lists this ribosomal RNA (1057 nucleotides) under uncultured bacterium. Its description in RNAcentral is "bacterial SSU rRNA". It matches the Rfam family "Bacterial small subunit ribosomal RNA", at positions 337 to 1396 of the family's 1533-position model. The record is from RNAcentral.